Molecule: transfer RNA, 73 nt
Filed under: Planctomycetes bacterium GWC2_45_44
Lineage: Bacteria; Pseudomonadati; Planctomycetota
Also listed under: 6 other names
Description: tRNA-Ala
Rfam family: tRNA
About the family: Transfer RNA (tRNA) molecules are approximately 80 nucleotides in length.
Source: RNAcentral
GGGGCCAUAGCUCAGUUGGGAGAGCGCUUGCAUGGCAUGCAAGAGGUCGCAAGUUCGAAUCUUGUUGGCUCCA